GACGACAACUGACGCUGAGGCGCGAAAGCGUGGGGAGCAAACAGGAUUAGAUACCCUGGUAGUCCACGCCGUAAACGAUGGAUACUAGGUGUGGGGGGACUGACCCCCUCCGUGCCGCAGUAAACACAAUAAGUAUCCCACCUGGGGAGUACGACCGCAAGGUUGAAACUCAAAGGAAUUGACGGGGGCCCGCACAAGCAGUGGAUUAUGUGGUUUAAUUCGACGCAACGCGAAGAACCUUACCGGGAUUUGACAUCCUGCUAACGAAGUAGAGAUACAUUAGGUGCCCUUCGGGGAAAGCAGAGACAGGUGGUGCAUGGUUGUCGUCAGCUCGUGUCGUGAGAUGUUGGGUUAAGUCCCGCAACGAGCGCAACCCUUAUUGUUAGUUGCUACGCAAGAGCACUCUAGCGAGACUGCCGUUGACAAAACGGAGGAAGGCGGGGACGACGUCAAAUCAUCAUGCCCCUUAUGUCCCGGGCUACACACGUAAUACAAUGGCGUUAAACAGAGGGAAGCAAAGCCGCGAGGCAGAGCAAAACCCUAAAAGGCGUCUCAGUUCGGAUCGCAGUCUGCAACUCGACUGCGUGAAGUUGGAAUGCUA
RNAcentral lists this ribosomal RNA (601 nucleotides) under uncultured bacterium. RNAcentral's name for it is "bacterial SSU rRNA". It matches the Rfam family "Bacterial small subunit ribosomal RNA", at positions 732 to 1337 of the family's 1533-position model. The record is from RNAcentral.